CCUACGGGGGGCAGUAGUGGGGAAUAUUGGACAAUGGGGGGAACCCUGAUCCAGCCAUGCCGCGUGUGUGAAGAAGGCCCUCGGGUUGUAAAGCACUUUCAGUGAGGAAGAACGCCUGGUGGUUAAUACCCAUCAGGAAAGACAUCACUCACAGAAGAAGCACCGGCUAACUCCGUGCCAGCAGCCGCGGUAAUACGGAGGGUGCGAGCGUUAAUCGGAAUUACUGGGCGUAAAGCGCGCGUAGGUGGCUUGAUAAGCCGGUUGUGAAAGCCCCGGGCUCAACCUGGGAACGGCAUCCGGAACUGUCAAGCUAGAGUGCAGGAGAGGAAGGUAGAAUUCCCGGUGUAGCGGUGAAAUGCGUAGAGAUCGGGAGGAAUACCAGUGGCGAAGGCGGCCUUCUGGACUGACACUGACACUGAGGUGCGAAAGCGUGGGUAGCAAACAGGAUUAGAUACCCCAGUAGUC
RNAcentral lists this ribosomal RNA (465 nucleotides) under Vreelandella stevensii. RNAcentral describes it as "partial 16S ribosomal RNA". It matches the Rfam family "Bacterial small subunit ribosomal RNA", at positions 338 to 795 of the family's 1533-position model. The record is from RNAcentral. Lineage: Bacteria; Pseudomonadati; Pseudomonadota; Gammaproteobacteria; Oceanospirillales; Halomonadaceae.